Molecule: ribosomal RNA, 440 nt
Filed under: uncultured bacterium
Lineage: Bacteria
Description: partial 16S ribosomal RNA
Rfam family: Bacterial small subunit ribosomal RNA
Source: RNAcentral
UGCUUAACACAUGCAAGUCGAACGAGAAAGGGAUUGCUUGCAAUCCUGAGUAGAGUGGCGGACGGGUGAGUAACACGUAAGAAUUUGCCUUUAGGAGGGGGACAACAACUGGAAACGGUUGCUAAUACCCCAUAUGCUUUCGAGUGAAAUGGAUUUAUAUUUAUCCGCCUAGAGAGAAGCUCGCGGCUGAUUAGCUUGUUGGUAAGGUAAGAGCUUACCAAGGCGACGAUCAGUAUCUGGUUUGAGAGGACGAUCAGACACACUGGAACUGAGACACGGUCCAGACUCCUACGGGAGGCAGCAGUGGGGAAUUUUCCGCAAUGGGCGAAAGCCUGACGGAGCAAUACCGCGUGAGGGAAGACUGCCUAUGGGUUGUAAACCUCUUUUUUCAGGGAGGAAUAAAAUGACGUGUACCUGAAGAAUAAGCAUCGGCUAACUCC